CCUACGGGAGGCAGCAGUGAGGAAUAUUGGUCAAUGGGCGAAAGUCUGAACCAGCCAAGUAGCGUGCAGGAUGAAGGCCCUACGGGUUGUAAACCGCUUUUGCACGGGGAUAACACCCUCCACGUGUGGCGGUUUGCAGGUACCGUGCGAAUAAGGACCGGCUAAUUCCGUGCCAGCAGCCGCGGUAAUACGGAGGGCCCGAGCGUUAUCCGGAUUCAUUGGGCUUAAAGGGAGCGUAGGCGGGUGUUCAAGUCAGCUGUAAAAUUGCGGGGCUCAACCGCAAAUCGCAGUUGAAACUGGACGCCUUGAGUACACAUCAGGCAGGCGGAAUUCGUGGGGUAGCGGUGAAAUGCAUAGAUAUCACGAGGAACCCCGAUUGCGAAGGCAGCCUGCUGGGGUGCGACUGACGUUGAGGCUCGAAGGUGCGGGUAUCAAACAGGAUUAGAUACCCCGGUAGUC
RNAcentral lists this ribosomal RNA (459 nucleotides) under uncultured bacterium. RNAcentral describes it as "partial 16S ribosomal RNA". It matches the Rfam family "Bacterial small subunit ribosomal RNA", at positions 338 to 795 of the family's 1533-position model. The record is from RNAcentral.